GACGAACGCUGGCGGCGUGCUUAACACAUGCAAGUCGAACGGUGAAGCGCCUUCCUUUUUGGUGGGUGUGGAUGAGUGGCGAACGGGUGAGUAACACGUGAGUAACCUGCCCCCUUCUUCUGGAUAACCGCAUGAAAGUGUGGCUAAUACGGGAUAUUCUGGGUCUGUCGCAUGAUGGGUCUGGGAAAGAUAUUGUUUCGGUGGGGGAUGGGCUCGCGGCCUAUCAGCUUGUUGGUGGGGUGAUGGCCUACCAAGGCGGUGACGGGUAGCCGGCCUGAGAGGUGGGCCGGCACAACGGGGACUAGGACCCGGCCCGACUCCUAAGGGGGGCAGGAGGGGGGAAUAUUGCACAAGGGGGGGAAGGCUGAAGCAGCGACGGCGGGUGGGGGAAGGAGGGCCGUCGGGUGGGAACCCUUUUUGGCAGGGAAGGCGGGCCGGCUCGGUUGGUGGGGGGUUGACGGUAGCUGGAUAAGAAGCGCCGGCUAACUACGUG
RNAcentral lists this ribosomal RNA (493 nucleotides) under uncultured bacterium. Its description in RNAcentral is "partial 16S ribosomal RNA". It matches the Rfam family "Bacterial small subunit ribosomal RNA", at positions 28 to 507 of the family's 1533-position model. The record is from RNAcentral.